RNAcentral lists this ribosomal RNA (113 nucleotides) under Sinocyclocheilus anshuiensis. The record is from RNAcentral. Lineage: Eukaryota; Metazoa; Chordata; Actinopteri; Cypriniformes; Cyprinidae.
ACAGCCAUAUCACCCUGCAGCCCAAGACUGGUUGCCCACUAAAGCUAAGCAGGGUUGAGCCUGGUCAGUACCUGGAUGGGAGACCUCCUGAGAAAACUAGGUUGCUGUUAGAA